CACGCCCUAAACGAUGUCAACUAGUUGUUCGGUGAGGAGACUCAUUGAGUAACGCAGCUAACGCGUGAAGUUGACCGCCUGGGGAGUACGGCCGCAAGGUUAAAACUCAAAGGAAUUGACGGGGACCCGCACAAGCGGUG
This 140-nucleotide ribosomal RNA is filed under the name uncultured bacterium. RNAcentral's name for it is "partial 16S ribosomal RNA". It matches the Rfam family "Bacterial small subunit ribosomal RNA", at positions 796 to 934 of the family's 1533-position model. The record is from RNAcentral.